UGGGGAAUUUUGGACAAUGGGCGCAAGCCUGAUCCAGCAAUGUCGCGUGCAGGAUGAAGGCCUUCGGGUUGUAAACUGCUUUUGUACGGAACGAAACGGUCUUUUCUAAUACAGAAGGCUAAUGACGGUACCGUAAGAAUAAGCACCGGCUAACUACGUGCCAGCAGCCGCGGUAAUACGUAGGGUGCGAGCGUUAAUCGGAAUUACUGGGCGUAAAGCGUGCGCAGGCGGUUAUGUAAGACAGAUGUGAAAUCCCCGGGCUCAACCUGGGAACUGCAUUUGGGACGGUAUAGCUAGAGUACGGCAGAGGGGGAUGGAAUUCCGCGUGUAGCAGUGAAAUGCGUAGAUAUGCGGAGGAACACCGAUGGCGGAGGCAAUCCCCUGGGCCUGCACUGACGCUCAUGCACGAAAGCGUGGGGAGCAAACA
RNAcentral lists this ribosomal RNA (427 nucleotides) under uncultured bacterium. RNAcentral describes it as "bacterial SSU rRNA". It matches the Rfam family "Bacterial small subunit ribosomal RNA", at positions 355 to 774 of the family's 1533-position model. The record is from RNAcentral.